GAUGAACGCUGGCGGCGUGCUUAACACAUGCAAGUCGAACGGAAAGGCCCAAGCUUGCUCGGGUACUCGAGUGGCGAACGGGUGAGUAACACGUGGGUGAUCUGCCCUGCACUUCGGGAUAAGCCUGGGAAACUGGGUCUAAUACCGGAUAGGACCACUUCUUGGAUGUUGUGGUGGAAAGUUUUUCGGUGUGGGAUGAGCUCGCGGCCUAUCAGCUUGUUGGUGGGGUAAUGGCCUACCAAGGCGUCGACGGGUAGCCGGCCUGAGAGGGUGUACGGCCACAUUGGGACUGAGAUACGGCCCAGACUCCUACGGGAGGCAGCAGUGGGGAAUAUUGCACAAUGGGCGCAAGCCUGAUGCAGCGACGCCGCGUGGGGGAUGACGGCCUUCGGGUUGUAAACUCCUUUCGCUAGGGACGAAGCUUAUUUUGUGACGGUACCUGGAGAAGAAGCACCGGCUAACUACGUG
This 468-nucleotide ribosomal RNA is filed under the name uncultured bacterium. RNAcentral's name for it is "partial 16S ribosomal RNA". It matches the Rfam family "Bacterial small subunit ribosomal RNA", at positions 28 to 507 of the family's 1533-position model. The record is from RNAcentral.